ACGUCAAAUCAUCAUGCCCCUUAUGUCUAGGGCUACACACGUGCUACAAUGGCCGGUACAACGAGAUGCAAACCCGUGAGGGGGAGCCAAACUUCAAAGCCGGUCCCAGUUCGGAUUGUAGGCUGAAACUCGCCUACAUGAAGUCGGAGUUGCUAGUAAUCGCGAAUCAGCAUGUCGCGGUGAAUACGUUCCCGGGUCUU
RNAcentral lists this ribosomal RNA (200 nucleotides) under uncultured organism. Its description in RNAcentral is "partial small subunit ribosomal RNA". It matches the Rfam family "Bacterial small subunit ribosomal RNA", at positions 1182 to 1382 of the family's 1533-position model. The record is from RNAcentral.